Molecule: ribosomal RNA, 376 nt
Filed under: uncultured bacterium
Lineage: Bacteria
Description: bacterial SSU rRNA
Rfam family: Bacterial small subunit ribosomal RNA
Source: RNAcentral
AUACGGAGGGAGCUAGCGUUGUUCGGAAUUACUGGGGGUAAAGGGUGCGUAGGCGGCUCUGCAAGUCAGGUGUGAAAACCAUCGGCUUAACUGAUGGACUGCAUUUGAAACUGUGGGGCUUGAGUGGAGUAGAGGCAGACGGAAUUCCCGGUGUAGCGGUGAAAUGCGUAGAGAUCGGGAAGAACACCAGUGGCGAAGGCGGUCUGCUGGGCUCUAACUGACGCUGAGGCACGAAAGCAUGGGUAGCAAACAGGAUUAGAUACCCUGGUAGUCCAUGCCGUAAACGAUGAUUACUAGGUGUGGGGAGUCUGACCCUCUCCGUGCCGGAGUUAACACAAUAAGUAAUCCACCUGGGAAGUACGACCGCAAGGUUGAA